Molecule: unclassified non-coding RNA, 231 nt
Filed under: Hevea brasiliensis (rubber tree)
Lineage: Eukaryota; Viridiplantae; Streptophyta; Magnoliopsida; Malpighiales; Euphorbiaceae
Source: RNAcentral
AGAAAGGGGCUGGAGCUCGAAGACCCACUUGACAAGGAUGAUGAGGUUCUUCUGGUGACUGAAGAUGCCGUCGAGGAGAAGAAUGAUGAGAUGGUAGUUGCAAGUGAAAAGGUUGAAUCAAAAUUGUUGGAUCAAGAGGAACCAACUGUGAUGAAAGACGGGGAUCUUGUCGCUCAGGACACAGUCCAGGAAAAGAAUGAUGAUUUGGAGAUUGCAAAUGGAUCUAGUCCA